Molecule: ribosomal RNA, 275 nt
Filed under: uncultured bacterium
Lineage: Bacteria
Description: partial 16S ribosomal RNA
Rfam family: Bacterial small subunit ribosomal RNA
Source: RNAcentral
UCGAGCGGCAGCGCGGGGGCAACCCUGGCGGCGAGCGGCGAACGGGUGCGUAAUGCAUGGGAAUCUGCCUAGUAGUGGGGAAUAACCCGGCGAAAGCCGGGCUAAUGCCGCAUACGACCUACGGGUGAAAGCGGGGGAUCGCAAGACCUCGCGCUAUUAGAUGAGCCCAUGUCGGAUUAGCUAGUUGGUAGGGUAACGGCCUACCAAGGCGACGAUCCGUAGCUGGUCUGAGAGGACGGCCAGCCACACUGGGACUGAGACACGGCCCAGACUCC